This 74-nucleotide transfer RNA is filed under the name Actinomycetota bacterium. Its description in RNAcentral is "tRNA-Cys". It matches the Rfam family "tRNA". Rfam says of the family: Transfer RNA (tRNA) molecules are approximately 80 nucleotides in length. Their secondary structure includes four short double-helical elements and three loops (D, anti-codon, and T loops). Lineage: Bacteria; Bacillati; Actinomycetota. The record is from RNAcentral. RNAcentral also lists the same sequence under 1 other name.
GGCGACAUGGCCGAGUGGCUAGGCAAGGGUCUGCAAAACCCUGUACCCGGGUUCGAAUCCCGGUGUCGCCUCCA